GAUGAACGCUGGCGGCGUGCCUAAUACAUGCAAGUCGAGCGGUAAGGCUCCUACUCUGUGUUUAAGGAAAUUUGAACAUAGGGUUGGAGUACACGAGCGGCGGACGGCUGAGUAACACGUAGGAACGUACCCCAAAGUGAGGGAUAAGCACCGGAAACGGUGUCUAAUACCGCAUGUGGUCUUCGGACUAAAGCUCCGGCGCUUUGGGAACGGCCUGCGCAUGAUUAGCUUGUUGGGAGUAU
This 242-nucleotide ribosomal RNA is filed under the name uncultured bacterium. RNAcentral's name for it is "partial 16S ribosomal RNA". It matches the Rfam family "Bacterial small subunit ribosomal RNA", at positions 28 to 258 of the family's 1533-position model. The record is from RNAcentral.